This 253-nucleotide ribosomal RNA is filed under the name uncultured bacterium. RNAcentral's name for it is "partial 16S ribosomal RNA". It matches the Rfam family "Bacterial small subunit ribosomal RNA", at positions 524 to 776 of the family's 1533-position model. The record is from RNAcentral.
UACAGAGGUCUCAAGCGUUGUUCGGAUUCAUUGGGCGUAAAGCGCGUGUAGGCGGCUUUGCAAGUCGGGUGUGAAAGCCCUCAGCUCAACUGAGGAAGUGCGCCCGAAACUGCAGAGCUUGAGUACCGGAGAGGGUGGCGGAAUUCCCCAAGUAGAGGUGAAAUUCGUAGAUAUGGGGAGGAACACCGGUGGCGAAGGCGGCCACCUGGACGGUCACUGACGCUGAGACGCGAAAGCGUGGGGAGCAAACAGG